Molecule: ribosomal RNA, 501 nt
Filed under: Pseudoalteromonas sp. WH271
Lineage: Bacteria; Pseudomonadati; Pseudomonadota; Gammaproteobacteria; Alteromonadales; Pseudoalteromonadaceae
Description: bacterial SSU rRNA
Rfam family: Bacterial small subunit ribosomal RNA
Source: RNAcentral
CGAGCGGCGGACGGGUGAGUAAUGCUUGGGAACAUGCCUUGAGGUGGGGGACAACAGUUGGAAACGACUGCUAAUACCGCAUAAUGUCUACGGACCAAAGGGGGCUUCGGCUCUCGCCUUUAGAUUGGCCCAAGUGGGAUUAGCUAGUUGGUGAGGUAAUGGCUCACCAAGGCAACGAUCCCUAGCUGGUUUGAGAGGAUGAUCAGCCACACUGGGACUGAGACACGGCCCAGACUCCUACGGGAGGCAGCAGUGGGGAAUAUUGCACAAUGGGCGCAAGCCUGAUGCAGCCAUGCCGCGUGUGUGAAGAAGGCCUUCGGGUUGUAAAGCACUUUCAGUCAGGAGGAAAGGUUAGUAGUUAAUACCUGCUAGCUGUGACGUUACUGACAGAAGAAGCACCGGCUAACUCCGUGCCAGCAGCCGCGGUAAUACGGAGGGUGCGAGCGUUAAUCGGAAUUACUGGGCGUAAAGCGUACGCAGGCGGUUUGUUAAGCGAGAUGU